UACGUAGGGUGCAAGCGUUGUCCGGAAUUAUUGGGCGUAAAGAGCUCGUAGGCGGUCUGUCGCGUCUGCUGUGAAAACUCAGGGCUUAACCCUGAGCUUGCAGUGGGUACGGGCAGACUAGAGUGCGGUAGGGGAGACUGGAAUUCCUGGUGUAGCGGUGAAAUGCGCAGAUAUCAGGAGGAACACCGGUGGCGAAGGCGGGUCUCUGGGCCGUAAC
RNAcentral lists this ribosomal RNA (217 nucleotides) under uncultured bacterium. RNAcentral's name for it is "partial 16S ribosomal RNA". It matches the Rfam family "Bacterial small subunit ribosomal RNA", at positions 524 to 740 of the family's 1533-position model. The record is from RNAcentral.